CAGUAGCCGCGGUAAAACGGAGGGUGCAAGCGUUAAUCGGAAUUACUGGGCGUAAAGCGCACGCAGGCGGUCUGACAAGUCAGAUGUGAAAUCCCCGGGCUUAACCUGGGAACUGCAUUUGAAACUGUCAGGCUGGAGUCUUGUAGAGGGGGGUAGAAUUCCAGGUGUAGCGGUGAAAUGCGUAGAGAUCUGGAGGAAUACCGGUGGCGAAGGCGGCCCCCUGGACAAAGACUGACGCUCAGGCGCGAAAGCGUGGGGAGCAAACAGGAUUAGAUACCCCGGUAGUCCCUGUCUCUUAUAC
Molecule: ribosomal RNA, 301 nt
Filed under: uncultured bacterium
Lineage: Bacteria
Description: partial 16S ribosomal RNA
Rfam family: Bacterial small subunit ribosomal RNA
Source: RNAcentral